RNAcentral lists this long non-coding RNA (432 nucleotides) under Sorghum bicolor (sorghum). Its description in RNAcentral is "long non-coding RNA (SBIC_LNC014994)". Lineage: Eukaryota; Viridiplantae; Streptophyta; Magnoliopsida; Poales; Poaceae. The record is from RNAcentral.
GUGCAGUGCGCAAAACAACCAUACGGCUCACUUCUUUGUGGAUUCUACAUUUGCGAGUACUUAAGGAUACAAGCACCAGAUUUAGCAGCAACUGGCGGCAGAUCUAGAAAGGACAAGAUUGGCAAAGGUCGAUGAAGAAUUUAGACAGUCAGUCGCUGACAUCUGUAAGUUUGUAACAAAGUACACAUGAAGGACGACCGUUCUUUGACCUAGAAAGCGAGCUAGCUAUGAACACAAAGUUUACGAGAAUUAGAAACUGGAGCGACGAAGAGGCAGGUAUAAAACUCAAUGAUUAUGUAUUGCCGAACCUCUUUGCUUUGAAGUAAAGAUAGUGUAGUGUUAGCAUUGUAGAUCUUAGUUUCACAAGUGUAAACAUUUGACAUAUGCUUUGUGUAAUCUAAAUUCGAAUGAAUUGCAUGGUUGAUAUACUGC